AUUGAACGCUGGCGGCAGGCCUAACACAUGCAAGUCGAACGGCAGCGGGGGAUAGCUUGCUAUCCUGCCGGCGAGUGGCGGACGGGUGAGUAAUGCAUGGGGAGCUGCCCAGUCGAGAGGGAUAACAACUGGAAACGGUUGCUAAUACCGCAUACGCCCUACGGGGGAAAGGUGGGGAACUUCGGUCCUACCGCGAUUGGAUGCGCCCAUGUGGGAUUAGCUAGUUGGUGAGGUAACGGCUCACCAAGGCGACGAUCUCUAGCUGGUCUGAGAGGAUGACCAGCCACACUGGAACUGAGACACGGUCCAGACUCCUACGGGAGGCAGCAGUGGGGAAUAUUGCACAAUGGGGGAAACCCUGAUGCAGCCAUGCCGCGUGUGUGAAGAAGGCCUUCGGGUUGUAAAGCACUUUCAGUCAGGAGGAAGGGGUGAUGGCUAAUAUCAAUCAUCAUUGACGUUACUGACAGAAGAAGCACCGGCUAACUCCGUGCCAGCAGCCGCGGUAA
This 506-nucleotide ribosomal RNA is filed under the name uncultured bacterium. Its description in RNAcentral is "partial 16S ribosomal RNA". It matches the Rfam family "Bacterial small subunit ribosomal RNA", at positions 30 to 523 of the family's 1533-position model. The record is from RNAcentral.